This 648-nucleotide ribosomal RNA is filed under the name uncultured bacterium. RNAcentral describes it as "bacterial SSU rRNA". It matches the Rfam family "Bacterial small subunit ribosomal RNA", at positions 33 to 679 of the family's 1533-position model. The record is from RNAcentral.
ACGCUGGCGGCGUGCUUAACACAUGCAAGUCGAGCGGUAAGGCCUUUCGGGGUACACGAGCGGCGAACGGGUGAGUAACACGUGGGUGAUCUGCCCUGCACUUCGGGAUAAGCCUGGGAAACUGGGUCUAAUACCGGAUAUGACCUCCUAUCGCAUGGUGGGUGGUGGAAAGAUUUAUCGGUGCAGGAUGGGCCCGCGGCCUAUCAGCUUGUUGGUGGGGUAAUGGCCUACCAAGGCGACGACGGGUAGCCGACCUGAGAGGGUGACCGGCCACACUGGGACUGAGACACGGCCCAGACUCCUACGGGAGGCAGCAGUGGGGAAUAUUGCACAAUGGGCGAAAGCCUGAUCCAGCCAUGCCGCGUGUGUGAAGAAGGUCUUCGGAUUGUAAAGCACUUUAAGUUGGGAGGAAGGGCAUUAACCUAAUACGUUAGUGUUUUGACGUUACCGACAGAAUAAGCACCGGCUAACUCUGUGCCAGCAGCCGCGGUAAUACAGAGGGUGCAAGCGUUAAUCGGAAUUACUGGGCGUAAAGCGCGCGUAGGUGGUUUGUUAAGUUGGAUGUGAAAUCCCCGGGCUCAACCUGGGAACUGCAUUCAAACUGACUGACUAGAGUAUGGUAGAGGGUGGUGGAAUUUCCUGUGUAGC